Long non-coding RNA from Panicum virgatum (switchgrass), 2212 nucleotides. RefSeq lists it as uncharacterized. The transcript is spliced from 2 exons. The record is from RefSeq and is a predicted model, not a curated record. NCBI's taxonomy places the organism in Eukaryota, Viridiplantae, Streptophyta, Magnoliopsida, Poales, Poaceae.
CGCACCGGCACGGAGGCUAGGGGUGCGGUUGCUGUCCUCCCGGCGCGGGGGUCAGGGUGGGGCCCUUUGGCGUGGGGUGCCACCUCUCCCGGAGGCCGGGCCUCCGCCGCGGCUCCCUCCCCCUAUUGGCGCUCGAUCUGCUAGGUGUGCGCUAUCCUCCCUUGCUUCCUUCCCCCUCUCUCCUACACUGAUUGUGUUCUGGUGUGGUUGGGAGUCGGAGAAAUGAGAGUCAUCCAGUAGCUACACAUUCGAGAUCCAACUAGGAUCCCAUCGACUGUUCACCACUCGAGAAGAUUGAGCGUGGAUGUGAGCAGGCAAAGAGGCCAUUUGCGUUUCUGUGGUCCGACAUGCGCAUCGCAUAUGGUAUAGUAGCAUCAGCAUCCAGCUUUUACAGCCACCGGUAGUAGCCCUUUUACCUUGUGAAAUCACAACAACAGUGUGUGACUGUCUUGUAUAGGCAUUUUAAUGUUGACUCUCAUUAAAACUGUUCUACGAAGGCAAUAAUAUUGAUUCCUAAUAAGCAAUUUUAUUGUUAUAUCUAGGCAUAACAAUACAUUUGUUUAAACAAUUUUUGUCUAGGCAAUUUUAUGUCAAAUUACUGAGCUAAUCCAUAUCUAAUUGAUGCAUGCGUUCUCCUUGCAGUAGAUCAGCUCAUCAAUGCAUCCUCUGCCCAAUCUCUGGAUGGUGCUGGAUCCAAUGUCCAAAAGACAACCUCAGAACUCUAGAACUAUGCCUGAUAAAUCUUGUGCAGAGCAAGGUGGAAAGGCUUGGCAAUUUGAGUGGUAAUGGAUCUUUACAUACUGCUUGGACAUGAGUUAGGCUACUGUCAUACAAAACUGCAACUAAUAGAGGUGAACUGUACUAGUUAGUUUUUGCACUGGUGCUCUGUUAUCUAAUGCAUAUAGGCACAUAUAACAUGAUUAUUCACUUCAUUUAUACAGUUCAAGCUUGAAUUCUUGAAUCUUAUGGCUUCAUUCCUUUGGAGAUUGUAACUCAGCUAGCUUUGGCCAAGGCGCUCGCGGCGGCGGCCCUCGGCGAAGGCCUGUGCAGCGGCAACCCCUGCAGAGGCCUGCUCAUUUGCCUCCAGGGCCCACGGCAGUGGCCCUCCUUCUUGGAUGUGCAUGGCGACGACUUCAGGCAAGGGAUUUGCAGCCGCACUGCCUGCGUUGUGCUGCCCCCGGGGGGCAAGCUCCCUAGCUCUCUCUCUCAAGUAGUUGGUAUACUAUCACUUUUGGGAGUUCUGCACCGGUAUUACUGGUUAGGCAAUAAUAUAGUUCCAAUUAGGCAAUAAUAUAGUCCUGAAAUAGGUACAAUAAUAUAUUUUAUUAGGUAAUAAAAGUUCUUAUAUACAAUAAAUUAGUCGUGGUACCAUACGGCCACAAUCUGUUUGAAUUUUCUCUCAUGUUUACACAAAUAAUUUUUUAGUGUUUGUGAUCUUUAGCAAUUUUGUAUGCUAUGAUGAUCUGCCAUUUUCUACUGAUUUUAACUCCUAAUCGGUGCUUGUGCUAGAUCAGGCUCGCACGAAGCCAAUGAUGCAACGAAUCCAUGCCUUUUUUUUUGGUGCUAGAGGAUGAGGGGUUACGAGUUGUUUUGUGUAUAUUUAGAUUAGACUUGUCAUUUGGUUUAUAGUAUCAAGUUAGAUAUGUAGACUAUUUGCUUUUCUUUUCCAAAGCUGGAGUUCAUGAUAGAUAAUGAUAAUGAUAGCAUGAUUUUAUGUGAGCUAGGGAAAGUACUGUUUUUAGUUGGGCAAAGUAAUACUUUUAGUUAGGAAUUUUUUUGUUUACGAACAAGCAAAACAAUAAUUUGACAAGGUAAUUUUUGUUGCCUUAGUUUUCUUCUAGUGCAUCUGUUGAUUAUCAGGAUACAGAAGCUAGUUAUUCACAUCAUCCAACUAAUUUUUUCUUAAUUUAUCCUUUUAUUAUGUGCUGCAUACUAACUGAUUUGGUGCUUUUCUCCUUGUUAUAUUGUAGGUCAGAAAGAAGCUCAUUUGUUUAUGUAGGUAGUAACUCUUCUAUGAGAUGCCCGUGCAGUCCGAUGAAUCUUCACAUUCAAUUUCGUUCAUGAUGUAUAUUUAGGUUCAGGGCAGGGGUGCGUGGCAAAUUUGUUUGCGUAAUUUAGCAUGUUGUGAACACCAAUUUUGGUAAACUAGGUUCAUGUAUUUGCACACGACGAGAUCUGUCAUUCUAUACUGUGCAUUAUUUUUGGUUCUGGG